GGAAGUAAAAGUAUGAUCUUGGCCCGCUAAGCCUAAGACCCUGCAGUUAAACUCUGUAGUACUUCCG
Molecule: transfer RNA, 67 nt
Filed under: Amphipholis squamata
Lineage: Eukaryota; Metazoa; Echinodermata; Ophiuroidea; Amphilepidida; Amphiuridae
Description: transfer RNA-Ser(AGY)
Source: RNAcentral